CCGGGCCGCCGCCGUGAGCUGGGUUUCCCCGGCUCCGUGCGGGAGCAGGUGUCCGUGUCCUCCCCGGCGGGGCUGGAAGUGCCGGCAAAGGAUUCGCUCCCGCCUGGCGCCGCUCUUCGCGUAGGGUUUGGAGCUGCGGGCCGUCCCUCUCUCUUUCUCCUUCCUUCUCUCCUUUCCUUCCUCGCCCCCGCGGCCCGGGUGGGACCGUUCGUCUCUUCCCAAAACCCGCCGUGUUCCCCCUGUGCCAGGAACAUGCUCCGGGCGCUCCGCGCUGGCUACUACCCUGUGUGUGUGUCAUCUGUCCCAGCCCAUACGCGCAGUUCUAUCCCAGGAAAGAAGGGGGAAGCUCUAAAUGGUCCAGAUUAGUUCUGUUUCAGGGCUAUGUGCGUAAUCUUCUGGCGGCUUUUAUGUUUCCCGGGGGAAACUUGGAGAACAAUUGUUUCUUUCCACGCUGUACUUUUGCUCCCAAGUUAAAAAUAGGAUCAUUAGCCUGGAGAUUUAAGGGUAGAGUGUAACCGAAGGCGAGGCACAAAUUCCUUAAAUAGAGGGAACAAAAAUAAAAAUGAUUUUGUGAAGCUAAAACAAUAGUUUGCAAUCUUUCUGCAGUUUUCCCAGAGUUUUUUUUAUCAUCUAAAGACUGAAUAUGGACCCUGAAACUGAGAUAAAGAAGCAAGUAAACCCUUUCUACUGCAACAUUUGCAAAAUCUGGUGUGCUUCUGCAUUAAACUUGCAGACUCACUUCCUUGGAUUCAAACACAAGACGGUUGAAGAAGCACUGAAAGCUCAUGGCGUUGUUAAAACACCCAGUGGCUCUGGGAAGCAAGUGAAAACACCUGUAAAACUUCCUGAUUAUGUGCAAACUGAGCCAGAGAGGUUUCAUGGACAGACAUUGGAAGAACAGCUUAAUACAUGUAAAGAUUCAGAACCUGCACUUGGUGAGGGCUUUUAAUACUGUAGUUGUUCGCUUGUGGGAUAUUUACCUUUAAAGGGUAUGGAUUAGUUGUUUAAAAUGU
RNAcentral lists this long non-coding RNA (1013 nucleotides) under Manacus vitellinus (golden-collared manakin). RNAcentral describes it as "lncRNA (ENSMVIG00005002998.1)". The record is from RNAcentral. Lineage: Eukaryota; Metazoa; Chordata; Aves; Passeriformes; Pipridae.